UACAGAGGGGGCAAGCGUUAUUCGGAAUUAUUGGGCGUAAAGGGCGCGUAGGCGGCCUGGCAAGUGGAAGGUGAAAUCCCUCGGCUUAACCGAGGAACUGCCUCCCAAACUGCUUGGCUUGAGACCAGGAGAGGUGAGUGGAAUUCCCAGUGUAGCGGUGAAAUGCGUAGAUAUUGGGAGGAACACCAGUGGCGAAGGCGGCUCACUGGACUGGUACUGACGCUGAGGCGCGAAGGCGUGGGGAGCAAACGGG
Molecule: ribosomal RNA, 253 nt
Filed under: uncultured bacterium
Lineage: Bacteria
Description: partial 16S ribosomal RNA
Rfam family: Bacterial small subunit ribosomal RNA
Source: RNAcentral